This is a non-coding RNA of Taeniopygia guttata (zebra finch), 3639 nucleotides long. Lineage: Eukaryota; Metazoa; Chordata; Aves; Passeriformes; Estrildidae. The record is from RefSeq and is a predicted model, not a curated record.
AAUCGGUGCAUGAGAUUGCCAUGGAGAAGGCUGGGGAAGAUGUUUGGGCCCCUAUUAAAGCUACAUGGACAUAAAUAUUUAUGCAGGAGUACAGCUUGAGGUCUAUGUUUCAUCCCAAUAUUACCUGACUGGUUCUAUCUUCCAUAGUCCACAAAGAAAAGCAGAUGUGAACACAGGGUUUGUCCAAACUCCCUUUCCAAGCACCACUUCCAGCCUGCUGAGGAGGCACUUUUUUUUGUUUUGAAAGAGCUGAGCCAAGCCCCAGUAUUACAGAAUUGAAGCUCCUGAGCUUUAUGUCGGUAGAAGGUGUAAUAUCCAACCUGGCUUCCAAAGUUUCUCACCUAAUUUCUGCAUUUUGGUGGAGUCUUGGCUGUUACAGCUGAGUGCAAAAGUCUUGUAAAGCUCCCUGGGUACAUUAGAACAAGCUGAGCAGCAGUGAUGGAAGCACUGAGAUAGUUCACCUCCCCUGUGCUUGCAGGGCUGAUGUCUUGAAAAAACCCAGCUGGCAGGGAUAAUGAAAUCUGUUGCUGCAGUCAGAUCUACCUGUGCUAUUAGAUUUCACAUACAGAUUUUAUUUUUCUCCGAAGACUGCAUUAAUUGGAAUGAGCAUUCCUGUUUGUGUAAGGGAAGAAAAGGAAGAUGUCACCAUGCUGAAAAGCCUCACCUGACUUUUCUUGAUCAUACAGGACCUGAACGAAACAACUAAAAUGAAGUUGAUUCUUUGUGCUCAAUUCAGGCUGAGACUGUGCCUCCAGGGCAUUGCUGUGACUGUGAAACAACAAGGGGCAUCCUCCCUCCCUUGACUGUCCACACAGACCACCAAAACCAGCAUUUGCAAUGACUGUCUUGUGAUGGGAAGUGUUGGGGUUUAAGAUUCUGCUUCAGAAAUGAAUAGUUGUGAUCAGGAGAAAAGCUUCCUAUUCUGUGAAAGGCACAGGAGCCUGCUGGACAAAAUGGGAAACUCCCCCACAUUAGGAUAUUUCAAAAGCAAUGCUGCUAUGAUCCAUAAAUGAGAGAACGUGCACAGAAAAUGGGUUGCAGGUCAGAAAAAUAGAAUGUGAAAGGAAGGCAGACAGGAACAAAAAAGGAACCUGGACUUCUGCUGACUAAACCAAAUAUCAAACAUACACAUAACCUAUAGACACAUAAAAAUCUGUUUAUACAUCAGAAUGGAGAAUGUGAAUUCUGCUGUUUAUCUUGAAAAAGAACAACAGCAGCAGUGCAGGUUUGUCCACUCUUCAGCACCAGAAGUGGUCACCAUUAAUCAUUUGGCAGAAAUGAAGUACAAGGAGGUGACCCUCACAGCCCACGGAUACACAGAAAUCUCCUACCUGGAAAACAAUCAAAAAUCAGACUGGUAAUGUUCAGAAAUACAAAACCAGUGGUCCUGGGAAAAAUAAAAUAAGUCACAGGUAUAUUUCACUUUAUUUAUUUGUUCUUCAUUUUGAUAGCACAUUUCAAAUUACACUUGGUAAUGAGAUCUUACAAAUCUUUCCCCUGCUCUGGGACAAAAAGCAAAAACCACUCAUGCAUAAGGUAUUGAAUGCAUUCACAUCAAGUAUAUUUUAUGUUGGGCUUUUGAACAUCAUAAAUAUGAGAACAUUAAACCAGCUGGUUUUAGAUUUUUUUUUUUAACAAUAUCAUUGUUACAGACCGUAGCACCUUGAAAAGUUUAACUCAAGUUUAUUUGCUUCCAAUAUUUUAUUUACAGUUUCGUAAGAGAUCAAAAAAUACAGAGGCCCAAAUACUACAAAACAAUGUUUUAAAGAUGAAGUAAUUCUAUUUACUUUGUAAGUGUUAAAACUCACAAUGGUCUUUCUGCUUUGACUGGGAAUGCAGUUCUGAAAUUACUUAGAUGAAGAUUAGGAAAUUCAACUUAUUUGUGAUUUUUAUGCAUCAUGAAACCUCUUGAAGGAGGUCUGGGCUUCCAGAAAUGUUGAACACCCAUCCUUUAAGAGGUUCUCAGCUAGAGAGACAAAAUCUCCAUCUAUUCCUGCAAAUAUUAGCCAAAAUACUGAGGAACUCACUAAUAUAGUUCUCAGGUCUAUGAAAGCAGGAUAAGAAUGACUAUAGAUUCUGUUACACAAGUUGAUUUUGCCUUUUUUUUUUAAAGCUGUCAUCUGAAUGCUUCAAUAGCCUUCAGGAACAAGAUAUUUUUGCAAUAUCUUUAUCUCUAUCUAGGGACAGAGUCUAAUUGUAGAAGGGGAAGAAAAGCUACCUAUAAAAGCCAAGAUCAUGAUAAGAAAACAAAUUUAUUACAAGUCUUCUCUGAUAAGGCUCUACCAUGCACAGGUGAAAUAUUGCUACAAACACUUGCUCUGAUCCUACAUCGUGCCUUGUGAAAUAACCAAGGGAUGAAGGUGCAAGAUGCACCCAAGGAAACACCUGGGGAUGUACAAAAACACAGGAACAAACCCAGGUGUUGUAACAUUGAUUAAUCUUAAUCCCUUGCUACCAGGCAUCUGCUUUCUGUAACCCUGAGUCAGUUCCUAGGAGCUUGUAGCAACACAGCUGGAAACAAUCCUAAACUUUCAAUUUGGGGCAUGGGGACUGCGUGCAAAGGAGACCAAAGCACGGGAGGAGGAAAGCUGGGCUGGGACUCACACUCAGUUCAAGGUUUGCAUUGAAUUUGAUCAGUGCCUUGUCUUUUCAGAGCUGGAACUCAGACCAUCUUGUAGGAUCCCUCAGGUAUCUCUGCAGCUCUCAGGUAUUAAACCACAUGGCUGCAAGAUCAAAGUAGUCCAGAUGCUUUGACAGAAGUAGUUAAUAGUGUGCAUCACAUCCACGUGGUGCUGAGAUCUCAGCCAUUGCACCAGGCUGCUGACAGCUUCGUAAACACAUUCACUCCAGUUAUAAACUUAUUUCUUGUGCCAAGACUUCAGUGUGCUUCAGUGCAUGAAGGAAAUUUACAGCUGACUCCAUGAAUAUAUGUAUAUAUAUAUAUAUUCCAGCUCUCCCUUUCAUUUCAGUUAAAAAAAAAACCAGCAGCAAUUAUAUUUUAAAUUCAUAACAGGUAUUUAUAACUUAGCUAUAAACAAAUGCUAAAGCUUUGCAGAAAGCUCUCAGGAAAACUAAUUAUUUUAAGAUUUUUAGGAAUAUUAACCAUUUUCUUCCAGUACCACAGUUAGACUAUGAUAUAUAAUCAUAGCAUAUCUACGUAUUAUACUAAUGACAGUAAGUAGAUAUAAAUUGUAUUUUUUCUGACAUGGGUUUACUCUUUAAGCAGGAAAUACAAGAAGAAGCCUGUUGUUAUAACUCAGUAUAGUGAUUGUUUUUUUUACUGUUUUACUCAUAGUUUAAGGUCAGGUAAAUGUAGCUGUCUCCAUAUAAAGGGAAAGGACUCUGGGGCAGAUUAGGAACAUGUCUUUUGAAUAGAUACUACUUUGGUUGCUGUCUGUUUAAAGCAUACAAUCUAUGAAGUUGUGUUUAUGGGGAAAAGGAGGAAAGGGUUUAAAUCCAGAUAAAAAGUUUGAAUUCCUCUGCAGUGUUAAUUUGGUUUCUUGAUCAAAAUUUAUUCUAAUUCAGAUUGUCACUUGGUUGCUCUAAUUCCACCAAGUCUUUGGAAAUGCUAAAUGGAAGGAGAAUCUGGGCCACUGUUGAAAAAGCUUUGCCUUGUGAUCUCCAUGUGAAUCAUGCUGG